GUACGUACAAGCAGUGGGAGCACAGGUUUACCUGUGUGACUGCGUACCUUUUGUAUAAUGGGUCAGCGACUUAUAUUCUGUAGCAAGGUUAACCGCAUAGGGGAGCCGGAGGGAAACCGAGUCUUAAUUGGGCGUUAAGUUGCAGGGUAUAGACCCGAAACCCGGUGAUCUAGCCAUGGGCAGGUUGAAGGUUGGGUAACACUAACUGGAGGACCGAACCGACUAAUGUUGAAAAAUUAGCGGAUGACCUGUGGCU
This 256-nucleotide ribosomal RNA is filed under the name Salmonella enterica subsp. enterica serovar Kentucky. Its description in RNAcentral is "partial 23S ribosomal RNA". It matches the Rfam family "Bacterial large subunit ribosomal RNA", at positions 560 to 816 of the family's 2925-position model. The record is from RNAcentral. Lineage: Bacteria; Pseudomonadati; Pseudomonadota; Gammaproteobacteria; Enterobacterales; Enterobacteriaceae.